GACGAACGCUGGCGGCGUGCCUAAUACAUGCAAGUCGAACGCUUCUUUCCUCCAGAUUUCUUGCCCUCAAUUGGAAAGAGGAGUGGCGGACGGGUGAGUAACACGUGGGUAACCUACCCAUCAAAGGGGGGAAACACUUGGAAACAGGGCAUAAAAACUCUAAACAGUUUUUGCCAGAUUGAAAAAUGGUAAAGGGCCCUUCAGGGUUUCUCUGGCGUUGGAUUCGCCGGUGCAUUAGCUAGUUGGUGAGGUAAGGGCUCACCAAGGCCACACUGCAUAGCCGACCUGAGAGGGUGAUCGGCCACACUGGGACUGAGACACGGCCCAGACUCCUACGGGAGGCAGCAGUAGGGAAUCUUCGGCAAUGGACGAAAGUCUGACCGAGCAACGCGGCGUGAGUGAAGAAGGUUUUCGGAUCGUAAAACUCUGUUGUUAGAGAAGAACAAGGACGUUAGUAACUGAACGUCCCCUGGCGGUAUCUAACCAGAAAGCCACGGCUAACUACGUG
Molecule: ribosomal RNA, 508 nt
Filed under: uncultured bacterium
Lineage: Bacteria
Description: partial 16S ribosomal RNA
Rfam family: Bacterial small subunit ribosomal RNA
Source: RNAcentral